UAGAUACCCUAGUAUGGACAUGUUUUUAUAAGAUUAUUAUUAUAAGGAAAUUUAAUUUUUUUGGCGGUUAAUAGAUAGAUUAGGGGAGCUUGUGGUUAAGAAUUUACUCUUUAUAUUUUACUAAUUUUUGUUUAUUUAUUUCCGUUAUGAGAGUUAAUCUAAAAAAUUUAUGUUUUUAUAUCAGGUCAAUAUGUAGCAAUUAUUAGAUAAAUUAGCUACAUUAAUGGAAUUUUGGAUGAAAUUUAGAAGUAUUUUCUUGAAAAUGAACUUAGGUGUAACUAUUCUUUAGACUGAGAUGGUGAAGCAGGAAGUUAAUGUACAUAUUGCCCGUCACUUCUUUUGUUUAAAGAGAAUAAGUCGUAACAAA
RNAcentral lists this ribosomal RNA (367 nucleotides) under Cynorta conspersa. Its description in RNAcentral is "partial small subunit ribosomal RNA". The record is from RNAcentral. Lineage: Eukaryota; Metazoa; Arthropoda; Arachnida; Opiliones; Cosmetidae.